UACGUAGGGUGCGAGCGUUGUUCGGAAUUACUGGGCGUAAAGGGCGCGUAGGCGGUUCGGUAAGUCCUGUGUGAAAUCCCUCGGCUCAACUGAGGAACUGCACGGGAGACUGCCGGGCUUGAGUUCGGGAGAGGGAAGCGGAAUUCCGGGUGUAGCGGUGAAAUGCGUAGAUAUCCGGAGGAACACCGGUGGCGAAGGCGGCUUCCUGGACCGACACUGACGCUGAGGCGCGAAAGCUAGGGGAGCAAACGGG
This 253-nucleotide ribosomal RNA is filed under the name uncultured bacterium. Its description in RNAcentral is "partial 16S ribosomal RNA". It matches the Rfam family "Bacterial small subunit ribosomal RNA", at positions 524 to 776 of the family's 1533-position model. The record is from RNAcentral.